Molecule: ribosomal RNA, 1188 nt
Filed under: metagenome
Description: bacterial SSU rRNA
Rfam family: Bacterial small subunit ribosomal RNA
Source: RNAcentral
GGACUGAGACACGGCCCAGACUCCUACGGGAGGCAGCAGUGGGGAAUAUUGCACAAUGGAGGAAACUCUGAUGCAGCGACGCCGCGUGAGUGAAGAAGUAUUUCGGUAUGUAAAGCUCUAUCAGCAGGGAAGAAAAUGACGGUACCUGACUAAGAAGCACCGGCUAAAUACGUGCCAGCAGCCGCGGUAAUACGUAUGGUGCAAGCGUUAUCCGGAUUUACUGGGUGUAAAGGGAGCGUAGGUGGCAAGGCAAGCCAGAAGUGAAAACCCGGGGCUCAACCGCGGGAUUGCUUUUGGAACUGUCAUGCUAGAGUGCAGGAGGGGUGAGCGGAAUUCCUAGUGUAGCGGUGAAAUGCGUAGAUAUUAGGAGGAACACCGGAGGCGAAGGCGGCUCACUGGACUGUAACUGACACUGAGGCUCGAAAGCGUGGGGAGCAAACAGGAUUAGAUACCCUGGUAGUCCACGCGGUAAACGAUGAAUACUAGAUGUCGGGUAGCAAAGCUAUUCGGUGUCGUCGCAAACGCAAUAAGUAUUCCACCUGGGGAGUACGUUCGCAAGAAUGAAACUCAAAGGAAUUGACGGGGACCCGCACAAGCGGUGGAGCAUGUGGUUUAAUUCGAAGCAACGCGAAGAACCUUACCUGCUCUUGACAUCCCAUUCGAUAGAAGGUAAUGCUUCUAGCCCUUCGGGGGAAUGGAGACAGGUGGUGCAUGGUUGUCGUCAGCUCGUGUCGUGAGAUGUUGGGUUAAGUCCCGCAACGAGCGCAACCCUUAUUGUCAGUAGCCAGCAGGUGAAGCUGGGCACUCUGAUGAGACUGCCGGGGAUAACCCGGAGGAAGGUGGGGAUGACGUCAAAUCAUCAUGCCCCUUAUGAGCAGGGCUACACACGUGCUACAAUGGCGUAAACAGAGGGAAGCGAAGGAGUGAUCUGGAGCAAAUCUCAAAAAUAACGUCUCAGUUCGGAUUGUAGUCUGCAACUCGACUACAUGAAGCUGGAAUCGCUAGUAAUCGCAGAUCAGAAUGCUGCGGUGAAUACGUUCCCGGGUCUUGUACACACCGCCCGUCACACCAUGGGAGUCGGUAAUGCCCGAAGUCAGUGACUCAACCAUAAAGGAGAGAGCUGCCGAAGGCAGGACUGGUAACUGGGGUGAAGUCGUAACAAGGUAGCCGUAUCGGAAGGUGCGGCUG